Molecule: long non-coding RNA, 2252 nt
Filed under: Triticum aestivum (bread wheat)
Lineage: Eukaryota; Viridiplantae; Streptophyta; Magnoliopsida; Poales; Poaceae
Description: long non-coding RNA (TAES_LNC010501)
Source: RNAcentral
GCACAACAAAAUAGUUCUACAAGUGCAAGUGCAAGUGCACAACAAAAAGGCCCAACAAGUGCACAAGCGCACAUCAACAUAGACUGGACGAGAAGCACAAAUUUUAGCUGAUAACACAUCACAUCAAUGAGAAGCACGAAUAUCGUGCACCAUCACUGGUACACGUACUUUGUCCCAUCACCCAGGCACCAAUGUUGUGUCCAUCUACUGGUUUGCCACAUGGUGAUGUUACCGCAUUAGGGCCGUCCCAGCUUCUCCCUGCCCAAAUGGCAGGAUGAUCUACUGAUCGAUGUACCGCAUUAGGGCCGUCCCAGCUUCUCCCUGCCCAAAUGGCAGGAUGAUCUACUGAUCGAUGUACUGCUCCAGCAUCACUCCCGCUACCACUGGUGGAAGAAGAUCAGCUCAUCAAUCAUCUGCACACGAACAAACGAAGAUUAACCUAUUUAGCCUACUGUAAUUUGUUUCUAAACAUGGGCACCAAAUCAACACCAACACUAAAUUAAAAUGCACAAAAGAAUGGAGCAUAGCCGUAUGUACAGCCUAACAACUUCAGGUUUGAGCCAUUUUUGAUACUACAAUAAAUACAUGACAGCCAAAAUUUUGAUCCAUGGACACCACAUGAUAGAAAAGGUACUAAGGCACUACUUUCUACUAAAAACCAAAGCAAGGUAUGAAGCACAGGCCAGGCCAACAAUAAACUACUACCAAAUCCAAAAAUAACCAUCUGAAAUGAAGUUAAUGAGACAUUUUAGAAUCAACUUGAUAGUUGACAUUAUUGUUUGUGUUGCACACAUCUAGAAUUGAAAUUAUACAUCAUGCCCAAAUUCCGAUGUCCAAUGCCUCAGUUCAGUAAACACUAAUCAUGGUACAUAGUAAAGAUUUGACACAACCGGAACUGAAAUCACUAACUCCUUCAAUUACUACACUAAUUUUAUUACACAACCAGGCAACGAAAUCCAACACGGGCACACAGACUAUAGGAGUUGGAACUUGGAAAUGCAGGUGUACAAUUAGCGCAUCACAUACCUAGUAUCUAACUAUCAAUAGUGGUCGGCAUGUAAAAGCCAACUAGCAGUAACUGAUGAUUAGUAAACAUAGACAGGAACUAAAUUCAGUAGUAAUGUGCGUGCUCUUAUCAAACCAGAGCAAGUAAAGGAGCUAAUCCCCAUGAGUGAAACAAAUUCGAUCACAACAACAAUCCAUAACGUUUAGUAACAACAAUAAGAAGGCCCUUAAACAGAGAACAGGUUGAAUCAUGCAUCGAUUAAAGUGUCUGUUCUUGGUUUCUCUUGGUUAGAAGAUAGACCGGUCAGAAACCAGAGAGACACUGAACAUGCAGAAUUAUGUAUGGAUUGUUAAAAUUUGCAUUAUCCUACUAUCACUAGUACAACAAGCUGCAGGUUGGCAUAGUUCAUGAACCAUGUACGUCAUGACAAAUACAAUAUCAUCCAAUGCUCAACUAUGAACAAAAUUGAACAAUUACACGUCACAAAGGCGGAGCAUAGAACCAAGCGGCAAGUAAGAGGGGUAGAAGGGGACGUGAGGAGCUCACCGAAGGGGGUUGUAGCCUAGGCCGAGCUUCAUCACCACGGUGGCAGCUAGGGGAGGCAGACAUGUCUACCAUCAUAGGAGCAGCACCACCGCCAGAAUUGGAAUGGCCGGAGCAAAUCGCCAUCAUAUGGGUCACCACCACCGAAUGAUCUUGCAAGGUAUAAAGUUUCGACAUUUCAGUACAAACUAGUGGCGUCAAGAACCAAGCAGUAGCAGGCAGAAGGUAAAUUCUAGUAACUGGUGAUUAGUAGACUAAAAUAGGAAAUAGAUUGCACCAGUAGCAAGCAGAAGCUAAAUUUUAGUAAAUGAUGAUUAAUUAUAACAUAGCAUCUCCAGCCCUGCUGUCCUGGUUAGUGCAACUACAAAACAGGAAAUGUUUUUUAUUUAUACAAGGAGCAGAAAUGAGGUAAGGCUUUGCUGUCCUGGUUAGUGCAACUGCAAAACUUUUUUUUGAAUGGUUGGUACUACAGAUCAUACUUCAAAAGCUCGAAGAUAUUGAGAAGCUCAGAUCAAAUAUAAAGCAAACAUAAAUACACUCCCCUUCUGCUCAAUGGCAGUGCACAAUAUACUUAUUCAUAUCUACAUGCCCACUCAUACGAAAUAAGAAUUAAAAAAUAAGGUACAUAGUUUCUGCAACUCACGUUGAAGGUUCUUGAAGAAAAGAAUAAGCCAAGAAAACAACUAUCAUCACAAAUACACCC